RNAcentral lists this ribosomal RNA (456 nucleotides) under uncultured bacterium. RNAcentral describes it as "bacterial SSU rRNA". It matches the Rfam family "Bacterial small subunit ribosomal RNA", at positions 411 to 868 of the family's 1533-position model. The record is from RNAcentral.
CUGCCCUAUGGGUUGUAAACUGCUUUUGUACGGGAAGAAAUGUCACUAUGCGUAGUGAUUUGACGGUACCGUAAGAAUAAGGAUCGGCUAACUUCGUGCCAGCAGCCGCGGUAAGACGAAGGAUCCAAGCGUUGUCCGGAUUUACUGGGUUUAAAGGGAGCGUAGGCGGAUUAAUAAGUCAGUGGUGAAAGCCUUCAGCUUAACUGAAGAACUGCCAUUGAAACUGUUAGUCUCGAGUACGGCUGAGGUGACUGGAAUGUAACAUGUAGCGGUGAAAUGCUUAGAUAUGUUACAGAACACCAAUUGCGAAGGCAGGUCACUAAACCGUAACUGACGCUGAGGCUCGAAAGCGUGGGGAGCAAACAGGAUUAGAUACCCUGGUAGUCCACGCCCUAAACGUUGAAUACUCGGUCUUGGCGAUACACAGUCAGGGCCCAAGCGAAAGCGUUAAGUAUU